This 797-nucleotide non-coding RNA is filed under the name Korinchia angustiabdomena. Lineage: Eukaryota; Metazoa; Arthropoda; Insecta; Diptera; Syrphidae. The record is from RNAcentral.
UUAAAGUUUUAUUUUGGCUUAAAAAUUUAUUAUUAAUUUAUAUUAUAUGUAAAUUUUUGUGUGAUUUAUUAUUUAUUUAAAAAAUAAAUAUUUUUAUUUAUUUGCAGUAAUUAAUAUUAUUAAUUAAAGAAAUUUAGAAAUAGAAAUAUUAGUUAAUAUUGACUUAAUUUGUGCCAGCAGUUGCGGUUAUACAAAUAAUGUAAAUAAAUUUUAUUAAUAAAAGUUAAAUGAUUUAGUUUAUAGAAUUAUAAAAUAAUUUAUUAAGUGAAAUUUUAAUUUAUUUUUAAUUUUAUUUUCAGAAUAAUUGAAGCUAAGAAAUUUUAAUUAAAAACUAGGAUUAGAUACCCUAUUAUUUAAUAUGUAAAUAAUAUUUAUAAAUUUAUUUGAGUAGUAUUAGGUAUGUUCUUGAAACUUAAAAAAUUUGGCGGUAUUUUAGUCUAUUCAGAGGAACUUGUUUUUUAAUCGAUAAUCCACGAUGUACCUUACUUAAAAUUGUAAUUCAAUUUAUAUAUCGUUGUUAUUAGAAUAUUUUAUAAGAAUAAUAAUUUUCUAUAAUUUAUAUAAAAAUUAAUAUCAAAUCAAGGUGUAGUUUAUUUUUAAGUAUAAAUGAGUUACAAUAAAUUUUAUUUAUAUGGAUUUAAAUAUGAAAAAUUUAAUUAAAUUGGAUUUGAUAGUAAAAUUAUAAAGAUAAAUAAUUUGAUUUUAGCUCUAAAAUAUGUACAUAUCGCCCGUCGCUCUUAUUAUUAAAGUAAGAUAAGUCGUAACAUAGUAGAUGUACUGGAAAGUGUAUCUAGAAU